Molecule: ribosomal RNA, 497 nt
Filed under: uncultured bacterium
Lineage: Bacteria
Description: partial 16S ribosomal RNA
Rfam family: Bacterial small subunit ribosomal RNA
Source: RNAcentral
GAUGAACGCUGGCGGCGUGCCUAAUACAUGCAAGUAGAACGCUGAAGGAAGGAGCUUGCUCUUUCCGGAUGAGUUGCGAACGGGUGAGUAACGCGUAGGUAACCUGCCUGGUAGCGGGGGAUAACUAUUGGAAACGAUAGCUAAUACCGCAUAACAGUAGAUGUUGCAUGACAACUAUUUGAAAGGGGCAAUUGCUCCACUACCAGAUGGACCUGCGUUGUAUUAGCUAGUUGGUGAGGUAACGGCUCACCAAGGCGACGAUACAUAGCCGACCUGAGAGGGUGAUCGGCCACACUGGGACUGAGACACGGCCCAGACUCCUACGGGAGGCAGCAGUAGGGAAUCUUCGGCAAUGGACGGAAGUCUGACCGAGCAACGCCGCGUGAGUGAAGAAGGCUUUCGGAUCGUAAAGCUCUGUUGUAAGAGAAGAACGAGUGUGAGAGUGGGAAGUUCACACUGUGACGGUAUCUUACCAGAAAGGGACGGCUAACUACGUG